Rosa chinensis is the source of this 1579-nucleotide long non-coding RNA. RefSeq lists it as uncharacterized. The record is from RefSeq and is a predicted model, not a curated record. The transcript is spliced from 2 exons. Lineage: Eukaryota; Viridiplantae; Streptophyta; Magnoliopsida; Rosales; Rosaceae.
AGAGACCUGAAGAUGUAGCAGUAGCAGAACAAAGUUACAGAUCCAAAACCACCUUCCCCAAUUUUAUUUACAGAAUCAAAGUUAUUAGUGGCAGCUUUUAUUUGCUUGAAGGUGAAAAAGCCAGUUUGCAGAUCCAGUCCUCUCAGAGCUGUCCAUCGAACAAGAUUUCUUGACUAACAAAUCAUUCAGAAGAUGGCUGGUCAAUUGCAAUACAGUUCUUACUAAAAUGGUGCUACAUUUCCUAUUAUGAUCAUUGCCAUGUGAAUUCAUGUGUGCAAUACGUUUUCCAAAAGACAAGUGAGGUAACAUUCCUGUGUGUCUACAUUACUAAGAAGUAGGACUAACUAUCUCUAAAGAUGUAGCAGUAGCAGAACAACCAAUCGAUGUUGCAUCUGAUCCACGCAAGAAGCUCUGAGUUCCACUCUCUUCUGCAGCAAACGUCUCAAACCGGUCCCUCGAGGCUGUCAACCUCGUCUCAUCACCAUAGAUACUUGGAUCCAUAGUCAAUUCAUGAACGACGCUCCGCCCUUCAAGCAUACUCACUACUGCAGACAUCGUUGGCCUAAGUGCUGGUGCCGGAUUGGUGCACAGUAGAGCUACUUCGACCAUUCUAAUUGCCUCUUCCUUGCUGAAAUCGGACCCCAGCCUUGGAUCCACCAGCUCCAUUAGAUUCCCUUUUUGUUGUAAAACAAGGGCCUGAAAACGAGCGAAGACAAAAGAUUGAACAUGGAAAGCAAACCAAGUUUAGCAGAGACGUCCAUGAAGUAGUAAUGGCCACAAAACUGUGCUUCUAGUUGCAUGUACCGGAAGGUAUUUGAAAGAGUCCAGAUCUAUCUUACCCAAUCCACAAGGCCUACAAAGUUCUCAUUUGCCCGAAAUUUCUCAUCUGCUCGAAGUUUCGUGUUAUUCUUUCCAGCAACAAUUUCCAAUGUGACAACACCAAAACUGUAUACAUCUGCUUUGUACGUUAAAUAACCCCAUAGUGCAUAUUCAGGUGCCAUGUAUCCUCUGCACAAGAAAGGUUGUUACAUCUUACUGAAUAUUCACUCUAGCAUGAGGCAUUUCAUCUCAAACUAUAGCCAACGCCAACAGAACAUUUACACAAGAUUACGUGUUCAAAUAUUUUGCUGGAUUUCAGUAUGCUAUUAAGCGGUCCAUGAAGUUACUCCAUAGACUACAUCAUUGCAAUUUAGAGAGACAUAUAUAUUAGUUUGUUCAUGAUUAUGUCAGAUUUAAGAUUUUGUUUACAGAAGUUGGGUGCAAAUCAAAAUUACUCUGAAAUGUGGCGUUUAGAGAAUAUAUGUAUACGGCGCGGGUAGCCAUAUGUAAGAGCAACUUACAUAGUUCCAGCAACUCUGGUGCUAAUGUGGGUAUUCUCUUCUUCGUCAAGCUUGGCCAGACCAAAGUCCGAGAUCUUAGCGUUAAGGUCUUGGUCCAGCAGUACAUUCGUAGAUUUAAUAUCUCUGUGCACAACCUUCAGUGGUGAUUCCUCAUGCAAAAAUGCCAGACCUUUUGCUAUGCCUAUGCAUAUUUUCUGCCUCGCAGGCCAGUCCAAUCUGAGUGGACCUCCCUCUGAACC